UAUGCACAUUUAGCAUUAUUUUUUGCUAUUAGGAGCAACCCAACAAAAAGAAAAUUUUCUCUGAUUCAGAGACAAAAUACAAGGAGAAAAGAAGACAGAAAGAGGUAGGGAAGCAAACCAACAGCUCUGGUACCAUGGCGAAUGACAAGAAUGCAAAGCUCCAAAAAUACUCUCUUGGGUUAUAUAUUUUAAAUAAUAACUGUGUCUGGGAAAAAGAACUACCAAUGGCCACAUGCAUUUACAGAAAAUCUCCCUUCCAGAAGAAAAGAUGACUAGUUGGAAUGCGUUUCAGAAGAUUAAAGCAAGAAAGGCAGUCAGACCGUUUUCAUUAUUAUAUUUCAUAUGGAAUUCAUUCUCCGAAAGCAAUACCUUUAAGCUAUGAAAUCUACACUGACAUCUAUCGUCUUAAAAAGCAAGACUCCCACUUCUUUGAACAAAUAAAGAAUUUUUCUUUUCCUGUGACAUUGGCUGGUGAAGGUUGACACGUAAGUGUUAAAAUCGUGGCACAUUUCAGUAAU
RNAcentral lists this long non-coding RNA (518 nucleotides) under Aotus nancymaae (Ma's night monkey). RNAcentral describes it as "lncRNA (ENSANAG00000039490.1)". Lineage: Eukaryota; Metazoa; Chordata; Mammalia; Primates; Aotidae. The record is from RNAcentral.